RNAcentral lists this long non-coding RNA (212 nucleotides) under Elaeis guineensis (African oil palm). RNAcentral's name for it is "long non-coding RNA (EGUI_LNC078281)". The record is from RNAcentral. Lineage: Eukaryota; Viridiplantae; Streptophyta; Magnoliopsida; Arecales; Arecaceae.
GUUAGGUGAGCCAACCAAAGUUGGGCUUAAUCAUUCGUUGGUUAGAUGUAUCAAGUAUGGUCAUGUUAAUGGUUGGACCUAAUCAGAUCCUUACAGUAGAGGCGAAAGCCUAUUGAUUAGGUUUCUGGAGCAAAAUUAAAUUACUAAAAGUUGUUUGGAGAAAUAAUUGGUUAAUGAACCUACUCGUAGAUGUAGAUAGGUUGGCCAACCAA